AUGAGACAAGGAUGUCCUUUUUACCACUGAGCUUGUUCUAAGUUUCCUCUGGACCUCCUCUGUUGAUAAGCUAGUGGGGACUUGAGGAGUGAGGCUGGAAGUCCAGCCUCCCUGCCAACACCUCAGGGAUGAAGGAGAAAAACAAGGAGAGAAAAAUCUAAACCCAGCAGAAGAGAAAGUUUAAGAAAGCGGUCGUCGCCAAUACCAAAAUUAGCUAUGAUAUUCAGGAAGAAAAAAAUGGAAACACGAUAACCACAGUCAAUAAAGACCAAGGCCACAUUCCAUUGACCAGAGCUCAGCCACGCGCCACACCUGGCUAAAGAGACUCUGGCUGAAGAAUUCCCUGAAUAUUUUAAUGUAGCUCUAGGUUAUAACACAGAACAACCACAAGGUGGCAGAAGAACUCCAUUCUUGUAAAUCUCUUAGUUGCUUCUUUAUUUCAUCUUCCCUAUUCCAUCUAAUGUUCCCUGAAUUUUACUAUUUUGUUGGUUUGAAAAUAUGUGUGACUUACGUCCUUUAAAGGAUUUGGUUCGUAAGGUUUUGAAUAGACUGGAAUAUAAAACAUUUAUAGAAAAGAAAAAUACCUACAGUAUGAUGUUAGUGAACUAUUAAUAAUCCAAUUAAAUAAAAUAUAUUUGCUUUGGAUUAAUACAUAUUUUGUUUUGAUGUUUGCUAAAUAAAACUAAGCAUUAGGAGGCCAAAUAGCCACAAUGAACAUUUUCAUAUUAUUUAAUAAGCCAGUUUCAAGGCAUACAUGCUAAAUUUGUUCUUAAGGAAAAGUUGAAUUUUUGCUUUCAUGAAAUUACAAACUCUAAGGCAAUUUUACACGUGUAAAUCCAAUGUGUUCUGAAGUUUAAAGUGUCAAAGGCUGUUGGAUUUAAACAGAUCUUGUAUGACUCUCUGUUUCAUCUCUUCAGAGGUUGAUAGUAAGCAACUUUGGCAGCAACUCACAGCUUCUGCUGUAACAUGAGGCUAAUAAUGACGACUUUAUAAGGUUGUUGCAAAGAGUCAGGGAUGCCACAAGCAACGUUCUUUAUAUAUGCAGAAUUUUAAAAAUAAAGUAAAUAAAAAUAUUCCUUCCUCUAUUCCCCAUUUUUCUAACAUUAUUUGCAACUGGUGUUUUAAUGCAAGACCAAAGGCUAAAAUAUACAUGUAGCUAGCAGAAUCAAAACCUAGAUCAGAUGUUCAAAAGCAUCAUGCUGCUAAAAGAUUUCAGAGUCUAAAACCUGUGCUCACUCUUCUGAAACAUCUUUCCACUUCCUGUUUAAAAAAAAACGUGAUAUUCUUUGAAGCUCAUUUUUUGGGCUUCAUGUGUUGUAAUUAUACAUUUGUUAUAUAGGGUAUAUGAUGACUUACGCUCUAAGGUAUUAUUCAGUACAUUGUAGAAAAAGGAGAAUAAAGAAUGUUGUUUGUCAGUAGGCAGCUCUGUCCUCUUUAUCCUUGACUGUAAUUUACUAAAGAGCUGACAAAAUUACAGCACAGGCAGCAAUUCACCAUAUUACCCUGCAGACAGCCAAGAGACUGACAUUGAGAUGAUGCGUUUUAACUUGGGUCCAUGUAAGGAACCUGAUGGGGUUAUAUGAAUUCUUUUCUGUACUAUGAAAAAAUGAAGUUGCUAAUAAGAAGGAGGUACAAAAGUGUGUACUCUGCGCAAGGCUACUGAUAAAGAUGCUACAGGGAUGCGUGGAAACCCAAUAUGUAACACUGAAAUGGCUUUUGAUUCAUUUGUAUUUGGUCUCAGACAAGAAAAUAGAUUAAGAAAAGGUCUGAAAAAAUGGAGCACUAGGAAAAAUGAUAGGAAAUUUUGUGUUGUUGAUAGUUAUCUAAUAUGAAAUACACGUUUGUAAUAUUUUGACAUAUAUGAUUUAAUACAACUAUAUUUUGUAAUAAAUAUCUUUAAUUCUAAGGAUUGAAAAUCUUAAAAGGAUCUAAAUUUUAUAGUUAUAGCUGUUUUGUUUCAAUAGGCUGAUGGACUUGGAAAUUCCAGGUUUCUUAAACAUAUUCGAUGAACUUGAAAAGCAGGGGGAGAUACUUUCAGAUGGCCUUGAAUGGGAGCGGGGGGACCCUGGAUUUCACUGGACACAUCUUUCUUCCUUUCUUCUCUGUAGUUUGGGACCUCUUCUUCUCAACUAGUCAGCAAUUAUAAGAAUGAAAAUUACCAGCCGGGCGCGAUGGCUCACGCCUGUAAUCCCAGCCCUUUGGGAGGCCAAGGCGGGGGGAUCACGAGGUCAGAAGAUCGAGACCAUCCUGGCUAACACGGUGAAACCCCGUCUCUACUAAAAAAUACAAAGAAUCAGCCGGGCAUGGUGGCGGGUGCCUGUAGUCCCAGCUACUCAGGAGACUGAGGCAGGAGAAUGGUGUGAAUC
RNAcentral lists this long non-coding RNA (2366 nucleotides) under Homo sapiens (human). RNAcentral's name for it is "HSALNT0403457". The record is from RNAcentral. Lineage: Eukaryota; Metazoa; Chordata; Mammalia; Primates; Hominidae.